Molecule: ribosomal RNA, 221 nt
Filed under: uncultured bacterium
Lineage: Bacteria
Description: partial 16S ribosomal RNA
Rfam family: Bacterial small subunit ribosomal RNA
Source: RNAcentral
UAAUGUAUGGGGAUCUGCCCGAUAGAGGGGAAUAACUACUGGAAACGGUGGCUAAUACCGCAUAAUGUCUACGGACCAAAGCAGGGGCUCUUCGGACCCUUGCACUAUCGGAUGAACCCAUAUGGGAUUAGCUAGUAGGUGGGGUAAAGGCUCACCUAGGCGACGAUCUCUAGCUGGUCUGAGAGGAUGAUCAGCCACACUGGGACUGAGACACGGCCCAG